Molecule: non-coding RNA, 46 nt
Organism: Schistosoma mattheei
Lineage: Eukaryota; Metazoa; Platyhelminthes; Trematoda; Strigeidida; Schistosomatidae
Source: Rfam
ACACUACUGAAGAGUCCUACAAUAGGACGAAACGUACUUCCAGUGC